RNAcentral lists this long non-coding RNA (322 nucleotides) under Mytilus galloprovincialis (Mediterranean mussel). Lineage: Eukaryota; Metazoa; Mollusca; Bivalvia; Mytilida; Mytilidae. The record is from RNAcentral.
UUAAAAAACAAAAAAACAAACAAACGCAAAACCACACACUCCCACUAUAUCAUUAAAUAAGAAAAACAAAAGAAUAAUUUAUAUGUGUUUUUAUAAUUUAUUAGUAGAAAAGAUUUUAUCUAACUCUUAUAAAACACAUAUAUACAGUCAAAUUAAGUUCAUAUGUAUAUAACACACAAGUUCCCAUAUAUACACAUCACACAAGUUCCCAUAUCUACACAUCACACAAGUUCCUGGUUUUCUUCUAAGACAUUCAUAAUCUAUUGAUUUUCUUUGAUGUUUUCUUUAAUGUUUUCUUUUUUCUAAUCCUAGUGUUAUAAUC